CUUACUUAAUUGCAUCAUCACCAAGCCCUGUGUUUUUGCGGGUAACGUCGCGAGCUUCAGGGACUGCGUGACCACUAACUGCGCUUCGCAAUUCCAGGCGGUCGUCUCGAAUGGUGGAGAGAAAUGUAUGGCCUGCAUUCAGAACCAGAUACUGGACCCCCGCACAAUCAUCACGAAUUGCGCCCUAUCAAGUCCACUGGGGACCAUGAACACAAACGGACUGCUGAUGCUCUCGAAACGACAGUUCACCUCUAGACAGAUGAUCGACUACCACCCAAACAUUCCGGAAAUUGUUCGUUCGCGGGUAUUUGGAAGCAAAGAUUGAAGACACAAUCACUGCCGUGUGUACGCACCUUAUCCCGUACGGCCCCGGUACCAACCCCGAACCGUUAAUGCGAUUAACCUUUGCUACAUCCGAACUGCAAAAUGCCUACGAAAUUGGUCAGCUAAUCUCGCAGUUCGGCGACGUCAAUCCGGCGGUAUUGAUGGGGGAUUUCAACGUGAACGGCCGCUCUACACCGGCAGGAAGCGGUUAUGACCAGUUCCAGCGACUGAUCUCUGUCUUUAACACGGAUGUUUCGAACAAAUGCUCCUUCUGUCGGUCUCCUGUCAAUGUCUACAACGGCAACACGGCGUCCGACAAGGUCAUUGAUUUCGUGUUCGGAAAUGGCGUCCGGAUCUUCAAC
Molecule: long non-coding RNA, 686 nt
Organism: Dreissena polymorpha
Lineage: Eukaryota; Metazoa; Mollusca; Bivalvia; Myida; Dreissenidae
Exons: 5
Source: RefSeq, a predicted model, not a curated record